RNAcentral lists this ribosomal RNA (497 nucleotides) under uncultured bacterium. RNAcentral's name for it is "partial 16S ribosomal RNA". It matches the Rfam family "Bacterial small subunit ribosomal RNA", at positions 28 to 507 of the family's 1533-position model. The record is from RNAcentral.
GAUGAACGCUGGCGGCGUGCCUAAUACAUGCAAGUCGAGCGAACAGACGAGGAGCUUGCUCCUCUGACGUUAGCGGCGGACGGGUGAGUAACACGUGGAUAACCUACCUAUAAGACUGGGAUAACUUCGGGAAACCGGAGCUCAUACCGGAUAAUAUAUUGAACCGCAUGGUUCAAUAGUGAAAGCCGGUUUUGCUGUCACUUAUAGAUGGAUCCGCGCCGCAUUAGCUAGUUGGUAAGGUAACGGCUUACCAAGGCAACGAUGCGUAGCCGACCUGAGAGGGUGAUCGGCCACACUGGAACUGAGACACGGUCCAGACUCCUACGGGAGGCAGCAGUAGGGAAUCUUCCGCAAUGGGCGAAAGCCUGACGGAGCAACGCCGCGUGAGUGAUGAAGGUCUUCGGAUCGUAAAACUCUGUUAUUAGGGAAGAACAAAUGUGUAAGUAACUAUGCACGUCUUGACGGUACCUAAUCAGAAAGCCACGGCUAACUACGUG